AUGGUCAGCAGCACCAACGAAGUGCGGAGGACGGUGCAGGAGAGGCCGGUGGUGGUGGUGGGGCGGCCGGAGUGCUGCCUGGCGGUCGUCGCCCGGCACCUGCUCCUGCGGCAGGGCGUGAACCCGGCGGCCCUGGAGGUCAGCUACGACGCCGACCCUGCGGCGCUCGUGUACGCGCUCCGGGCCAAGGACGACAACACCAAGUUGGUCACCGACGUCGCCUUACCGGUGGUGUUCGUCGGAGGUAGGCUGUUGGGUGGGCUGGACCGACUCAUUACCAUGCACAUCGCCGAAGAGCUCGUGCCGCUCCUGAGGCAGGCAGGUGCCCUGUGGCUCUGA
Molecule: ribosomal RNA, 339 nt
Filed under: Triticum aestivum (bread wheat)
Lineage: Eukaryota; Viridiplantae; Streptophyta; Magnoliopsida; Poales; Poaceae
Description: partial small subunit ribosomal RNA
Source: RNAcentral